RNAcentral lists this ribosomal RNA (497 nucleotides) under uncultured bacterium. Its description in RNAcentral is "partial 16S ribosomal RNA". It matches the Rfam family "Bacterial small subunit ribosomal RNA", at positions 28 to 507 of the family's 1533-position model. The record is from RNAcentral.
GAUGAACGCUGGCGGCGUGCCUAAUACAUGCAAGUCGAGCGAACAGACGAGGAGCUUGCUCCUCUGACGUUAGCGGCGGACGGGUGAGUAACACGUGGAUAACCUACCUAUAAGACUGGGAUAACUUCGGGAAACCGGAGCUAAUACCGGAUAAUAUAUUGAACCGCAUGGUUCAAUAGUGAAAGACGGUUUUGCUGUCACUUAUAGGUGGAUCCGCGCCGCAUUAGCUAGUUGGUAAGGUAACGGCUUACCAAGGCAACGAUGCGUAGCCGACCUGAGAGGGUGAUCGGCCACACUGGAGCUGAGACACGGUCCAGACUCCUACGGGAGGCAGCAGUAGGGAAUCUUCCGCAAUGGGCGAAAGCCUGACGGAGCAACGCCGCGUGAGUGAUGAAGGUCUUCGGAUCGUAAAACUCUGUUAUUAGGGAAGAACAAAUGUGUAAGUAACUAUGCACGUCUUGACGGUACCUAAUCAGAAAGCCACGGCUAACUACGUG